RNA transcript from Mangifera indica (mango), 1725 nucleotides. It is a transcript of the gene named serine/arginine-rich splicing factor SR30-like, with no coding region annotated. The transcript is spliced from 16 exons. NCBI's taxonomy places the organism in Eukaryota, Viridiplantae, Streptophyta, Magnoliopsida, Sapindales, Anacardiaceae. The record is from RefSeq and is a predicted model, not a curated record.
AACUCUCGAACAACAACCGUACACGUGACACCACAGGAUCCUCAAUCUCUCUUUCAGCUUCAAUAAACAACGCCAUAAAAGCAUCCUUCCAGAACCAUCUUCUUCUCUAUUCUUCUAACUUUCGAAUCCAUUCUCUCUCUACUCUCUUCAGCAAAACUGAGAAAAUGAGCAGCCGAUCGAGCCGUACACUCUACGUGGGGAAUCUCCCAGGAGAUACUCGAAUGAGAGAAGUUGAAGAUUUGUUUUACAAGUAUGGGCCCAUUGUCGAUAUUGACCUGAAGAUCCCCCCCAGACCUCCGGGUUAUGCCUUUGUUGAGUUUGAGGAUUACCGUGAUGCUGAAGAUGCUAUCCGUGGUAGGGAUGGCUAUAAUUUUGAUGGAUACAGAUUGCGGGUUGAACUUGCACAUGGGGGGCGAAGGCGUCCAUCAUCAGUUGAUCGUUACAGCAGUUACAGUGGUAGUGGAGGUAGCCGUGGAGUUUCUAGGCGCUCUGACUAUCGUGUCUUGGUGACUGGAUUACCUUCGUCUGCUUCAUGGCAAGAUCUUAAGGAUCACAUGCGGAGAGCUGGGGAUGUCUGUUUCUCUCAAGUGUUUCGUGAUCGUGGUGGUAUGACUGGAAUUGUGGAUUACACAACUUAUGAUGCUAUGAAAUAUGCAAUAAAGAAGCUUGAUGGAUCUGAAUUUCGUAAUGCAUUUUCUCGGUCUUAUGUACGGGUGAGGGAGUAUGAUUCAAGGAGGAGCUACUCUAGAAGCCCUAGUCGCAGUCCAAAUUAUUCAAGAAGCCGAAGUCGUAGCCCAUAUUACUCAAGAAGCAGAAGUUACAGUCGCAGCUACAGUGAUCAGAGCAGGAGCAUUUCUCCCAGGGCCAAGCAUUCACGUAGGUCUCCAUCUGCAUCUCCUGCUAGGUCUAGGUCUGUCUCUCAGCAUUCUUAUUCAAGAUCACCUGCCCGCUCUUAUUCAAGAUCUCCUUUGCGGCGACCUGGGAUUGGAUGUUAGGAACUUGAUGGGAUGUGGUGCUCAAAGCCUGCAACUCAUUUUGUUCUUGAGCUAGCAUGGGUCAGUAUAUGAAAGAUGGAUGGCUAGCAAUUUUAAAGCUGGAUACUGAUCUAAGUCCAAUUGGUUUGACACCACACACAACGAGUCUGCGCUAUUGACAAAUUCAAGACUUCUGGCUCUGCCAAACUUUUGCCCAGGAUUCUCAUUAAUUUGGUGAUACAUAGAUUUUGUGGAUGCAUUUCGUUCUUCUAGUAUUAUUGUGCUCCAUCGACUUUUUGCCCUUUUUUUUUCUCUUUUUUCUGUUUUGUCUAUUUUAGCUCACAUUACAUGCUGGGGAAGGAUCAUUAUUAAGUGGUGAGGGGCAAUAAUGAGAUACUGGUUUGAUGUUUUACUUUUGGUUGCUGCUAAGAUUGAUGAUCGCCAUCUAGAUCCAGAUCUCCAGUUUCACCUUAUCGUGGCAGGCAUGUGAGUAGAAGCCCAAGAGAGCGCAGUCCAAGCCAGAGUUCAAGGAGUCCAAGUGUUUCUCGAUCCCGUUCACUGUCGGUGAGAAGUGAGGAUUGAUUCUGAGUUGAUUGGUGAGUCCAGGGAUUGUGUUGAGGACAGUUUAUAUGUUAGUAAUGAAAAGCUAGAACCUUUCAUGUAGGUGAUAAAUUUCCCAAUUAUAAUUUGCUGUGAUGGAUUUAUAUGUUUGCAUGUUAUAUAAUGUUAGAUGAUAAGUGUGUGAACAAAA